UUGAAUAACAAGCCGAAUUUCUUUACGAAAACGGGGGAACCAUGAUUUUAGGGGUGAAUUCCGCAAGUCCUUUAAGGGCUUGUAGAUAGGGUGCCUGUAAACCCGAAUCCGUCAGCUAACCUCGUAGGCUUUUUUUGCAGGAACC
RNAcentral lists this small RNA (145 nucleotides) under Paenibacillus sp. RNAcentral describes it as "c-di-AMP sequence". It matches the Rfam family "c-di-AMP riboswitch aptamer (ydaO/yuaA leader)". From Rfam's summary of the family: This family represents a conserved RNA structure found upstream of the ydaO and yuaA genes in Bacillus subtilis and related genes in other bacteria. The ydaO/yuaA element is thought to act as a genetic "off" switch for the ydaO and yuaA genes in its native state. Lineage: Bacteria; Bacillati; Bacillota; Bacilli; Caryophanales; Paenibacillaceae. The record is from RNAcentral. RNAcentral also lists the same sequence under 1 other name.